CCUACGGGUGGCAGCAGUGAGGAAUAUUGGUCAAUGGGCGCGAGCCUGAACCAGCCAAGUAGCGUGAAGGAUGACUGCCCUACGGGUUGUAAACUUCUUUUAUAAAGGAAUAAAGUGAGGCACGUGUGCCUUUUUGUAUGUACUUUAUGAAUAAGGAUCGGCUAACUCCUUGCCAGCAGCCGCGGUAAUACGGAGGAUCCGAGCGUUAUCCGGAUUUAUUGGGAUUAAGUGGAGCGUAAGUGGGUUGUUAAGUCAGGUGUGAAAGUUUGCGGCUCAACCGUAAAAUUGCAAUUGAUACUGGCAGCCUUGAGUACAGUUGAGGGAGGCGGAAUUCGUGGUGUAGAGGUGAAAUGCUGAGAUAUCACGAAGAACUCCGAUUGAGAAGGCAGCCUACUAAACUGCCACUGACAUUGAUGCUCGAAAGUGUGGGUAUCAAACAGGAUUAGAUACCCCAGUAGUC
Molecule: ribosomal RNA, 460 nt
Filed under: uncultured bacterium
Lineage: Bacteria
Description: partial 16S ribosomal RNA
Rfam family: Bacterial small subunit ribosomal RNA
Source: RNAcentral